This 423-nucleotide ribosomal RNA is filed under the name uncultured Porphyromonadaceae bacterium. Its description in RNAcentral is "bacterial SSU rRNA". It matches the Rfam family "Bacterial small subunit ribosomal RNA", at positions 355 to 776 of the family's 1533-position model. The record is from RNAcentral. Lineage: Bacteria; Pseudomonadati; Bacteroidota; Bacteroidia; Bacteroidales; Porphyromonadaceae.
UGAGGAAUAUUGGUCAAUGGGCGAGAGCCUGAACCAGCCAAGUCGCGUGAGGGAAGACGGCCCUACGGGUUGUAAACCUCUUUUGUCAGGGAGCAAGAACAGAUACGUGUAUCUGAGCGAGAGUACCUGAAGAAAAAGCAUCGGCUAACUCCGUGCCAGCAGCCGCGGUAAUACGGAGGAUGCGAGCGUUAUCCGGAUUUAUUGGGUUUAAAGGGUGCGUAGGCGGACUGCCAAGUCAGCGGUAAAAUUGCGGGGCUCAACCCCGUCGAGCCGUUGAAACUGGCGGUCUUGAGUGGGCGAGAAGUAUGUGGAAUGUGUGGUGUAGCGGUGAAAUGCAUAGAUAUCACGCAGAACUCCGAUUGCGAAGGCAGCAUACCGGCGCCCGACUGACGCUGAAGCACGAAAGCGUGGGUAUCGAACAGG